CACUAUGCUUAGCCCUAAACACAGAUAAUUACAUAAACAAAAUUAUUCGCCAGAGUACUACUAGCAACAGCUUAAAACUCAAAGGACUUGGCGGUGCUUUAUAUCCUUCUAGAGGAGCCUGUUCUAUAAUCGAUAAACCCCGAUAAACCUCACCAAUUCUUGCUAAUACAGUCUAUAUACCGCCAUCUUCAGCAAACCCUAAAAAGGAAAAAAAGUAAGCGUAAUUAUGAUACAUAAAAACGUUAGGUCAAGGUGUAACCUAUGAAAUGGGAAGAAAUGGGCUACAUUCUCUACACCAAGAGAAUCAAGCACGAAAGUUAUUAUGAAACCAAUAACCAAAGGAGGAUUUAGCAGUAAACUAAGAAUAGAGUGCUUAGUUGAAUUAGGCCAUGAAGCACGC
This 400-nucleotide ribosomal RNA is filed under the name Bos taurus (domestic cattle). Its description in RNAcentral is "partial small subunit ribosomal RNA". It matches the Rfam family "Bacterial small subunit ribosomal RNA", at positions 788 to 1384 of the family's 1533-position model. RNAcentral also lists the same sequence under 1 other name. The record is from RNAcentral. Lineage: Eukaryota; Metazoa; Chordata; Mammalia; Artiodactyla; Bovidae.